CCUAGGGGCGCACCAGUGGGGAAUAUUGCACAAUGGGCGCAAGCCUGAUGCAGCCAUGCCGCGUGUAUGAAGAAGGCCUUCGGGUUGUAAAGUACUUUCAGCGGGGAGGAAGGGAGUAAAGUUAAUACCUUUGCUCAUUGACGUUACCCGCAGAAGAAGCACCGGCUAACGCCGUGCCAGCAGCCGCGGUAAUACGGAGGGUGCAAGCGUUAAUCGGAAUUACUGGGCGUAAAGCGCACGCAGGCGGUUUGUUAAGUCAGAUGUGAAAUCCCCGGGCUCAACCUGGGAACUGCAUCUGAUACUGGCAAGCUUGAGUCUCGUAGAGGGGGGUAGAAUUCCAGGUGUAGCGGUGAAAUGCGUAGAGAUCUGGAGGAAUACCGGUGGCGAAGGCGGCCCCCUGGACGAAGACUGACGCUCAGGUGCGAAAGCGUGGGGAGCAAACAGGAUUAGAUACCCUAGUAGUC
This 464-nucleotide ribosomal RNA is filed under the name uncultured bacterium. Its description in RNAcentral is "partial 16S ribosomal RNA". It matches the Rfam family "Bacterial small subunit ribosomal RNA", at positions 338 to 795 of the family's 1533-position model. The record is from RNAcentral.